GCCAACGACCAUACCACGUUGAAUACACCAGUUCUCGUCCGAUCACUGAAGUUAAGCAACGUCGGGCGUAGUUAGUACUUGGAUGGGUGACCGCUUGGAACACUACGUGCCGUUGGCA
RNAcentral lists this ribosomal RNA (118 nucleotides) under Acyrthosiphon pisum (pea aphid). The record is from RNAcentral. Lineage: Eukaryota; Metazoa; Arthropoda; Insecta; Hemiptera; Aphididae.